UAGGAUGUGGUGUGACGGCCGAUGGCAUGCGGUGAAGGUCAAGCGAAAGGUUCAUGCCGAUGGACUAAGGGCGGUGAAGGAUGAACACGAGUAGGCUUGGACCGAUGGACUUGAGGAGUCCGGGCGAAGUCAUGGGUGGUCCACAUGGUGCACGGAUUGGCAAGACAACAUGACGGUGAUGAAGACGAUGUCGGUUGAGUCAAGCGGGACGGAGGCAAGUCAAGUAGGAGGCCCGGGAGCCAAGAGCCGGGAGCGAACGACUUGGAGGCGUUAAAGGCUUGGUGGACACCGGACACGCGUCAACAUCGAGGAGGUCGCGUGGCGGCCAAGCGAAGAUGGACGGUUUGGGUGGUUUGGGCCUCAAAACCACCACGCUAGUAGGUUUCCCGGUUUGAGCCUCAAAAUCGGGGGCGAGGCCGGUGCGGCCGUUGCUUCGAGAAGGAGGGCACGUGGCAUCAUCACGAAGCUUGCGUCGAGGCGAAGCAAUAUCGUGAAGGUGGCGUGUCCGUCCGAUGAGCGUAGAAAAACUUGGACCAAAAUGCCCCUGCGUGGGUAAUUAUCCUAGUUGUAGUUGUAGGGGUAGUUUGGUCAUCCGUCCCGGACUAUAAAUAUGGAUGGAUGGCUGUUCAUUUCAGCACCUCUUGAGAAAACCCUAAAUCAUUUGCUUAGAGGCUAGCCAAGUGCUUAGAGAGAGAGGAGAGAGAAAGAUGAGGGUGAUUGCUCUUUUCUCUUGAUAAACUUCAUUUUAGUGGGUGGAUGAAGGGAGGAGGCUAGUCCUCAUCUUGUAAAGAUGUUGGCCUCGUGAUUUAGUUGAAUUUGUGUGUCAAAUCCAUGG
This 835-nucleotide long non-coding RNA is filed under the name Setaria italica (foxtail millet). Its description in RNAcentral is "long non-coding RNA (SITA_LNC003083)". Lineage: Eukaryota; Viridiplantae; Streptophyta; Magnoliopsida; Poales; Poaceae. The record is from RNAcentral.